RNAcentral lists this unclassified non-coding RNA (2281 nucleotides) under Daphnia magna. RNAcentral describes it as "homeobox protein Meis2, transcript variant X1". The record is from RNAcentral. Lineage: Eukaryota; Metazoa; Arthropoda; Branchiopoda; Diplostraca; Daphniidae.
AUAUACACAAAGCUUCGUUUUUUGUUUUUCUACGGCCUCAUCGUAAAGAUAGGAUUUGUUACAAAUCUAUUUUGGUUUUUUAUUUCAUUUUCUCAAGGACAUCUAGCCGCAUCUAGCGGUGGCAAUAACAGCUUAGACGACAACACGCGAGGUUUUCGUUUUUUCUCCUUCUGCUUUGAUUUGGAGAGGAAAACCUGAAAUCACUGCGGAUGCCAAUUUAUGGCUUGCGCGACUGCAUUACGGCCACAUAAUUGGCGUAUAUAUUGAAAGAAAAAAAAAAACGAGACCUAUUCUUUACGCGGUUGAAUUUCUCGUUCUUGGUCGUUUACUUUCGAAACUAGACUAUGUGUGACAAUGAAGAAGACGCCACAGUAUUGUUGACAGCUGGAGGACAAGAAAGCUUGAACGAUGAUUUACAAAUAGCAAGCAACAAUCAACAACAACGAUUAUCGAACAAUGGACCAGCAAUAUCCAAGCCAAAUUCCAAUGUCUUUCUUUUUUGCUCGGCCAGUAUGGCAGCCUUGGGUGGCUUACUGUUUGGCUAUGACAUUGGAAUAAUUUCAACUGCCCUGCCUCAAAUCAAAGUUGAAUUCUCGCUGACUUGCUUUCAGCAGGAAAUGGUUGUCAGCCUAAUGCUUGUUGGCGCUCUUUUUGCAUCCCUUGUUGGAGGUGUCUGCAUUGACAAAAUCGGUAGCAGAAUGGCCAUUAUUGUAAAUGCUUUGGUAUUUAUAGCAGGAGCACUUCUUUUGGCAUUUUCCAACAGUUAUGGCUGGCUGCUUGUUGGCAGAUUUAUUGUGGGUUUUGCUGUGGCCUUGUCUGCUGUCAGCGAAUGCAUUUAUAUAUCAGAGAUAUCCACCCCUCACAACAGAGGCAUGCUGGUAUCCCUAAAUGAAGUAGCCAUCACCGUUGGGUUCCUUUUGGCCUACGUAGUCGGCUUAAUAUUCAUUGACCGGUCGGAAGGCUGGAGAUACAUGUUUGGAUUAAGCGCGGUACCUGCAGCUGGGCAACUGCUUGGCAUGUUCAAACUGCCCAAUAGUCCACAUUUUUUGGUUUUGAAACAUCGCGAUGAAGAGGCCGAGAGUGCCGUCAGGAAUUUACGCCAAUUGAAGAGUACUGACCAAGUACGCCAAGAAUUGACCCACAUCCGUUUGUCGCUAGAGGCCGGUCGUUCGCAGAGCUGCUGGUCCUUGUGUUCCAGCGCCGACGGCUUGCGCGCAGCAAUGUUGAUUGCUUUUGGAUUGGUUAUGGGACAGCAAUUGACCGGCCAACCAAACGUUCUCAACUAUGCGUCAACCAUUUUCGAGCAAGUCGGUUUUUGCGGUCGGGAUCCGGUCAGUGCCACGUUUCCCACCGUCGGCCUUGGAGUCGUCAAGUUGGCGGCCACUUUGGUUUCACUGUUACUUGUCGAUCGGAUGGGCCGACGAAAAACCUUGCUGCUGGGCGCUCUCAUCAUGGCGGUCAGCUUGAUUUGUCUCGGUGUCUUUGCUCUUGUCCAGCAGCAAGGUAGCAGCGUCAUUAGACCUACCUGCACGGAUAGCCAGCCUUCGAAUCAUUCAGCGAAUGCCACUCUAUUCGUCUGCGGUUCAUCAUCCUCCUCCGACGUUAAUCCAGGGCUGCGCUAUAUGGCGCUAGCGGCCCUUAUGGCCUACGUUGCGGCCUAUUCUUUCAGUUUUGGGCCCGUCACUUGGCUGUUGCUCAGUGAGAUUUUCCCGGCUGCCAUUAAAGGUCGUGCUAUGGCCGUUUCGACGUCAGUCAACUGGGCCACCAAUUUAGUCAUAUCGGCUACUUUCCUCCGCACUGUGCAGCUCUUUUCGCUGGGUGGCGUGUUUUUCGGCUACGCCAUUCUGACAUUUUUGUCCAUAAUAUUCAUCUUCUUGGUCGUGCCUGAAACGAGGAACAAAACGCUCCAUCGGAUCACCAAGGAAUUGCAGACGACGACCUUCGCUGGCCGUAUGGCCCAACACGCUCGCCAAUUUCCGUGCUUCACUGAUUCGUCGUGGCUACUGAAACUCGGCGGCAAUUAUUCCCAGCUGGCCAACAAUAGUCGAGACGUCGCUAUGGAGAUGGCCGUAUCUUAAACGGCCAUUCGAGUUGCCCUACAUCUCUGUGAUUCCCAUUCCGCAAACCCCAAUCAAAUGAAUGAGAUCGAGAGAGACGCCGUUCGACGGAAGAUGUGGAGCACUCGUCGUCGGACGGCGAAGAUUACGGCGCAAUGGAUUCUGUCAUGUCCGGAGGCGAAGAAACUUCAGAAGCUGGACCAGCGGGAGCCAGUGGCUCUGGU